UCUCUGGAUAGUUCCCCACCACUCCCUCACAAUCUCCUCCGUUCCCCAUUCUCUCCACCAUAGCCAGCGCUCCCUGGUCAGGCCGCCCCCUCCCCUUCGUCACCAUCGCCGGCGCUCCCUGGUCAGGCUGCCCUCCCCUUCGUCACCAGCGCGGCCGCUCUCUCACACCCCGUAGGUCAAAGGUUGAAUUUUUAUCCGCCGCUGAUGGUGCUGCUGGGCGAGGAGGCGCUGGAUGCGCGUGCGCCGGCGCUGGAUCUGCUCCGUCUGGCUCCGGCGACCUUACCCCGUGGCUCCGGGACAGGAAGGCUACCCCGACGACAUACAGCAACUGGACUCUAUGCACAGCGAGGAGGAUGAAGACACCCAGCCAUGGAUUUUUAGCAGCACUCACUCAAGGAAAAAGAGACCUCAACACGCCAAUGGAUGCAGCCAGCCUCCAACUCACCACGCACCUGCACCAACUUGAUGUAGGGAGAGGAGGAGUGAGGCUUCUCUCACGGGAUGACGCCCAGCCAUGGGGCAGCAACAAUCCAAGAUUGCUGUCAAAAUAAGCCUAAAUUCAGAGUCUUCGGAAGUCAAUUACUUUGAGCCUUUGAGUUAGGAGGUAUACCAGUCUCUUUGUAGUUUGCUCUUAAUAAACUCUUCCCUUGGCCAUGAUGAGAUGUUUAAGUCUUUCCACUUAUCAGUUUUUAGUUCCACUUGAAGCGAUGCAUAUUCGAAUACAUUUUCUAGUCCUUUGAGCUGUUGAAUGAAUAAAUGAAAAAGUAUUAGCAUCACAACCGAACAAUAACAGAAAUCGUGUUAUCAAAAGAUGGUGUAGUGGGACUAAUGACUAACCAUAGCGGUGAGGUCUUUGCGGCUCAUUCCUGGGCCUAGCGAGUCGAGCACCUGGAUGCAUCGCUGCCCGGCAUUUAUAACUGCUAGGUACCAAUGGAAGUGUUCAAUGUUAACUGGAAUGUAUAUCUGAAAAUAGGGUUUUUGUUAGUUUAGGUCCCAUCUAUACAAACAUUUAUAUGGAACUGAGACUCACCAUAUCAUGUUCCAAAUAAGUUAUAGCCAAUUCAAUUGGGGCAUAGAUAAUGAAAUUUGAUCAUCAUUACCUUGUGAUACAGCUAGCUGUGCCGGUGUUCCGUUAUGUAGGCCAUCUAUUUCCUCACUGGUAUUUUUUUUCUUUUGUAGGCUUCACGCCUUCUCUUAUUAAUCUCAUCUUUAUUUUUUGCAUACCGCUCUCUAUCCCUCUGCCUUUUUAGUUCCUUUGGGUCUGCAAAUCAUGAAACAGUUCAGCAGUUGUAAUACUGUAUCGAACUUGAGUGACUGGGUUAUGAUCAAUACAUGAUGUUUGGUUGUUGCUUAUAUCCUGGAAGGGGGUGCGCGUCCUGACUGGGUUAUGAUCAAUACCUGAUGUUUGGUUGUUGCUUAUAUCCUGGAAGGGGGUGCGCGUCCUGCUGGGAGUGGGGGUCCUGUUGGGAGUGGUAGGGCCCAUACGAAUACGAACUCCUGUAAAAACAUGUGAGAUCAUUAUAUUUAAUGGAGCGCAAGACCAUCAUUUAGAAUAUGGAACCAACAACCUCGAAAUGUAAUGCUGUACUUUAUAAUAGAUUCAAUCGCAAUUGUCGCUGUCAAGAGGCCUCAUGCAUAGGGUGUAUUUUCUUAUGGUCAUAUGAUUUUGAGGGGACAUCUUUGUAAUAGAUUCAAUCGCGAUUGUCGCUUUCGAUCAAGAGGCCUCAUGCAUAGAGUGUAUUUUCUUAUGGUCAUAUGAUUUUGACAGAACAUUGUGGCAAACUACAAAGAUUUGUUUCAGUCAUAGGUUAGGUCAGUGGUAUCAAAUUUUCAGUACCAUGGGGAUCUGCUGAGGAUCCGUGGUAUGAUUUCACUUGCUCAUGCACUUUAUGAUUGGUUUUCAUAACAUAUGCUCACGACAUAUGGUUCAUCUCUUGCAUCGAUUACAUGGACAAUCAUAGAUCCUAGUAUGUGGAUUAACCAUGGUUUCACUA
Molecule: RNA transcript, 1994 nt
Organism: Triticum aestivum (bread wheat)
Lineage: Eukaryota; Viridiplantae; Streptophyta; Magnoliopsida; Poales; Poaceae
Exons: 4
Source: RefSeq, a predicted model, not a curated record